RNAcentral lists this ribosomal RNA (253 nucleotides) under uncultured bacterium. RNAcentral's name for it is "partial 16S ribosomal RNA". It matches the Rfam family "Bacterial small subunit ribosomal RNA", at positions 524 to 776 of the family's 1533-position model. The record is from RNAcentral.
UACGUAGGGGGCGAGCGUUGUCCGAAGUUACUGGGCGUAAAGCGCGCGUAGGCGGGUCUUUAAGUGAGGGGUGAAAGGUUCGGGCUCAACCCGGACACUGCCUUUCAUACUGGGGACCUUGAGUGCGGGAGGGGCGAGUGGAAUGGUCGGUGUAGCGGUGAAAUGCGUAGAUAUCGGGAGGAACACCGGUGGCGAAGGCGGCGACCUGGGUAGAUACUGACGCUGAGGUGCGAAAGCGUGGGGAGCAAACAGG